Molecule: long non-coding RNA, 1890 nt
Organism: Humulus lupulus (European hop)
Lineage: Eukaryota; Viridiplantae; Streptophyta; Magnoliopsida; Rosales; Cannabaceae
Exons: 2
Source: RefSeq, a predicted model, not a curated record
CAAAAAAUGAGUUACUAAAGAUAUGAUGUAACUCAUAGGGUGGAAGCGCCGAGGUUAUUUGAUAACUCUACAAAAUAGAGUUAUUUUACCACAUUUUAUAAGCCAAUUAUUGCUUAGUUCUUGAGUUUUUAAUUAAUUUAUCAAUUUUUUAAGUAAUUUUGAAUUUAUUAGUUUUAUUUUGAUUUUAUGUAUUUUUAUUUAUUUUUUGUAUUUAUUUUGUUUAAUUAUGUUGUUACUAAUUUAUGUGUGUUUAAUUUCUUUAUGUAGGUGUAUUUGUUGGGGCAAAUGAAAUGUUGAUAAAAUGUUGGUAUAAUGAAAUGAAGAAAUCAAGCCCAAAAUGAAAGGCCCAAUCCAAUUCUUGACAAUGCCAUGUCAUCAAUCCAUGUGCUUCUUUCUCCACCAUUGGAUUUGUAACUAUAGGAAAAUAUGACAAUUUUGAACAUGAAUCCAUGUGCUUUUUUUUUAGACCAAUAGGAGUGUUAUCCUUUACCAAAGAAUUUAUCUAUAAAUAGGAGUCUCAUUUCACCAUUUCAAGCACACCUUCUCUUACACCACUUCUUCCAUCUCUCUAUUCUCUCCAUCUUUUUCUUUUCUUAGAUUAGUUUUUAUGUAUUUUUAGAGGAAUAAUUUGGAGGUUCCUCCUCCAAAUUUUCCUAUUUAUGUUGUAAUUUUUAUUUUGUUUUUGAUAGUUAUGGGUUUCUAAUCCACUUAAAAUUAUUAAGGUGGAGGAUGAACCAAGAUAUAACUAUAUAGUGUUUAUUUUAUGUUGACCUCCCAAAAUGAGCAAUAAAGUUUAUGAUUUUUCUUCUUCUAAAUAUUUCUUUCAUCUAUAAUAUCAUGUAUUUUAGAUUGUUAGAACAUAUUUUACUUGGUUCUUAAUUAUGCAAAAAUAUAGUAUUCUUUGAUUAAGAUGUGUCAUUAAAUUGUUCACAUCCAAUGCUUAGAACAAAAAUACUAUAUUUUGCUUUAGAAAUAACAUUAUUUGAUUUUUUUUGUAGUUUCAUUAAAUUGAUUCACAACUAAUGCUUUGAAGUUAUACUAUUGAAGUGAAGGAAAAUCUAUAUUUUUGAAUUAAAGAGAGCUUAAAGGAAGUAUAAUGUUUUGGAAAAGGUAAUUAGAUUGAUUUCAAUUAUCACUAAAAUUUGGGAAGUCAACAUAUUAAUAAAUAUUAUUAUUUAUAUUUUGUGGAUUCUAAAAUCUUAAUAAUUUUAUAAAUAACUAUUAAAAACAAAUCUUUUUAGUUUAUUUAUUUUAACUUUUUUUUAAGUAUUUUCUUUCUUUAUUUUUAAACAAAACACAUCAAUCUUUGGAACUAGGUUAGAAAUUUAUUUCACUUUGGUAAAAAUAGUUUUCUCUUUUGAUUUAAGUCAACUCCUUUGGGUUCGACCUCGUGCUUACACGAACACUAUUCUAUAAAUACGAUUCGUGCGCUUGCGAGUAUAAAUAUUUAAAACAUACCCGUUUUGGGUCCAUCAUUAUUCAAGGACCUGAGUUCCUAUUUACCUCAUAAAUGAGUUCUUACUGGUUUAUGUUUUUUGAUGGUUACCUCAAGAUGUGAAAUAGACAAUAGGGGUGCCAUGAUCACGAGAUAUAUGAUUGUGAAUAUGAAUAUGAAUUUAAUAUGAGUAUGAUAUGGUUACGAUAUAAAUUGCCAUGAGUUUACGAUACGUAGACAAUAGGGUUUCUCCUUGGCACACACAGUGAUGUGGGAAGUUCCAAUGUCUAGGCAUGUAUGACGCGAGGUGUCCUAGGAACGAUUAAUGAUCAAGAUGAGCAUCAAGAAUAAUUAAGAACUUAUGUUAUAAUUUAUCUUUUAAUUAUGUCAGUGGGACUUAUCACUUUUAUUUUAUUUCCAAAGACUGCACAAUGACACAACAUUUUUAUUUCAAA